Molecule: non-coding RNA, 700 nt
Organism: Ictidomys tridecemlineatus (thirteen-lined ground squirrel)
Lineage: Eukaryota; Metazoa; Chordata; Mammalia; Rodentia; Sciuridae
Source: RefSeq, a predicted model, not a curated record
AUUUUAUUGGAAUAUAGGGUUACAAAAUACUUUCUAAUUAUCUUCUGUAUUUCUGUGGUGUCUGUUGUGAUAUUGCCUUUUUCAUCCCGGUCGCCGAGUCGAGUCGCACGGGCAGCGGCUAGCGGGUCCGGACCUCUGCGCUGCGCUGCAUGGCGGAGAUUCACUCGUCUGGGGCAAACUGUCACCUCCAAAAAUCCUACCAAUUGCCGGCCCGGUCUCUCUUCAGUGGAAUUUUGCCAGAAGCCUCUCAGCAGAUGAGGUGAUCUUUCAUGUCGGUUCUUCCUCUGAUCUCAGCUCUGGCCUGCAGGACACCUCUCCAGGAGUACCUCAGCUGUUACACUAGAGCAUUGUGUAUUCUCCUGAUUUUCUCUUGGUGGCACAGUUUGCUGAGGUGCUUCCUCACCAGACUCCUGGGCCUGUUGGAGUAUAAAAUAUAAAGUAUGAAAAUACUCACAACUACAGACUCAACAGGCUGAGAAGACUCUUGUUCAUCCUGUCUUCCUCCAGCUUUAGUUCUUGGUCUUUCUUGUCUUCUCAUGUUCCACUCUAAAACCAAAAUAAUGUGAUUUGAAGUAUGAAUUUAAAGGACAACAUAGUUGACCAUUCCCUGUAGUCUAGAUAAUGUGUAAUUUCUUAAAAUGUAGAAAAAUCUUUCAAAAUAAAUCCUAGGGUACUACUAAUACACAAUGUAUGCCCCGUG